RNAcentral lists this ribosomal RNA (473 nucleotides) under uncultured bacterium. RNAcentral describes it as "bacterial SSU rRNA". It matches the Rfam family "Bacterial small subunit ribosomal RNA", at positions 335 to 798 of the family's 1533-position model. The record is from RNAcentral.
ACUCCUACGGGAGGCAGCAGUAGGGAAUUUUUCGCAAUGGACGCAAGUCUGACGAAGCAAUGCCGCGUGAGGGAUGAAGGUUUUCGGAUUGUAAACCUCUGUUAUAAGGGAAGAAAACCUGAUAUAGGAAAUGAUAUCAGCUUGACGGUACCUUAUCAGAAAGGGACGGCUAACUACGUGCCAGCAGCCGCGGUAAUACGUAGGUCCCGAGCGUUAUCCGGAAUUAUUGGGCGUAAAGAGCAUGUAGGCGGUUUAUUAAGUCUGGUGUGAAAGCUAGUGGCUCAACCACUAAAUUGCAUUGGAUACUGGUAAACUAGAAUACUGGAGGGGCAAGUGGAAUUCCAUGUGUAGCGGUGGAAUGCGUAGAUAUAUGGAGGAACACCAAUGGCGAAGGCAGCUUGCUGGACAGUAAUUGACGCUGAGAUGCGAAAGCGUGGGUAGCAAACAGGAUUAGAUACCCUGGUAGUGUACUG